RNAcentral lists this ribosomal RNA (486 nucleotides) under uncultured bacterium. RNAcentral describes it as "partial 16S ribosomal RNA". It matches the Rfam family "Bacterial small subunit ribosomal RNA", at positions 30 to 507 of the family's 1533-position model. The record is from RNAcentral.
AUUGAACGCUGGCGGCAUGCCUUACACAUGCAAGUCGAACGGCAGCACGGGUGCUUGCACCUGGUGGCGAGUGGCGCACGGGUGAGUAAUACAUCGGAACAUGUCCUGUAGUGGGGGAUAGCCCGGCGAAAGCCGGAUUAAUACCGCAUACGAUCCACGGAUGAAAGCGGGGGACCUUCGGGCCUCGCGCUAUAGGGUUGGCCGAUGGCUGAUUAGCUAGUUGGUGGGGUAAAGGCCUACCAAGGCGACGAUCAGUAGCUGGUCUGAGAGGACGACCAGCCACACUGGGACUGAGACACGGCCCAGACUCCUACGGGAGGCAGCAGUGGGGAAUUUUGGACAAUGGGCGAAAGCCUGAUCCAGCAAUGCCGCGUGUGUGAAGAAGGCCUUCGGGUUGUAAAGCACUUUUGUCCGGAAAGAAAUCCUUGGCUCUAAUACAGUCGGGGGAUGACGGUACCGGAAGAAUAAGCACCGGCUAACUACGUG